UAGGGAAUCUUCGGCAAUGGACGAAAGUCUGACCGAGCAACGCCGCGUGAAUGAAGAAGGCCUUCGGGUUGUAAAAUUCUGUUAUAAGGGAAGAAAGGUUAGAGAAGGAAAUGGCUCUAAAGUGACGGUACCUUAUGAGAAAGCCACGGCUAACUACGUGCCAGCAGCCGCGGUAAUACGUAGGUGGCAAGCGUUAUCCGGAAUUAUUGGGCGUAAAGAGCGCGCAGGUGGUUGAUUAAGUCUGAUGUGAAAGCCCACGGCUUAACCGUGGAGGGUCAUUGGAAACUGGUCAACUUGAGUGCAGAAGAGGGAAGUGGAAUUCCAUGUGUAGCGGUGAAAUGCGUAGAGAUAUGGAGGAACACCAGUGGCGAAGGCGGCUUCCUGGUCUGUAACUGACACCGAGGCGCGAAAGCGUGGGGAGCAAACAG
RNAcentral lists this ribosomal RNA (428 nucleotides) under uncultured bacterium. RNAcentral describes it as "bacterial SSU rRNA". It matches the Rfam family "Bacterial small subunit ribosomal RNA", at positions 355 to 775 of the family's 1533-position model. The record is from RNAcentral.